RNAcentral lists this ribosomal RNA (731 nucleotides) under uncultured bacterium. Its description in RNAcentral is "bacterial SSU rRNA". It matches the Rfam family "Bacterial small subunit ribosomal RNA", at positions 771 to 1501 of the family's 1533-position model. The record is from RNAcentral.
AACAGGAUUAGAUACCCUGGUAGUCCAUGCCGUAAACGAUGUCUACUAGCCGUUGGGGCCUUUGAGGCUUUAGUGGCGCAGCUAACGCGAUAAGUAGACCGCCUGGGGAGUACGGUCGCAAGACUAAAACUCAAAUGAAUUGACGGGGGCCCGCACAAGCGGUGGAGCAUGUGGUUUAAUUCGAUGCAACGCGAAGAACCUUACCUGGCCUUGACAUACUAAGAACUUUCCAGAGAUGGAUUGGUGCCUUCGGGAACUUAGAUACAGGUGCUGCAUGGCUGUCGUCAGCUCGUGUCGUGAGAUGUUGGGUUAAGUCCCGCAACGAGCGCAACCCUUUUCCUUAUUUGCCAGCGGGUUAAGCCGGGAACUUUAAGGAUACUGCCAGUGACAAACUGGAGGAAGGCGGGGACGACGUCGAGUCAUCAUGGCCCUUACGGCCAGGGCUACACACGUGCUACAAUGGUCGGUACAAAGGGUUGCUACCUCGCGAGAGGAUGCUAAUCUCAAAAAGCCGAUCGUAGCCCGGAUCGCAGUCUGCAACUCGACUGCGUGAAGUCGGAAUCGCUAGUAAUCGCGGAUCAGAAUGCCGCGGUGAAUACGUUCCCGGGCCUUGUACACACCGCCCGUCACACCAUGGGAGUUUGUUGCACCAGAAGUAGGUAGUCUAACCGUAAGGAGGACGCUUACCACGGUGUGGCCGAUGACUGGGGUGAAGUCGUAACAAGGUAACC